CGGGACGGGUGAGUAAUGUCUGGGAAACUGCCUGAUGGAGGGGGAUAACUGCUGGAAACGGUAGCUAAUACCGCAUAACGUCGCAAGACCAAAGAGGGGGACCUUCGGGCCUCUUGCCACCGGAUGUGCCCAGAUGGGAUUAGCUAGUAGGUGGGGUAACGGCUCACCUAGGCGACGAUCCCUAGCUGGUCUGAGAGGAUGGCCAGCCACACUGGAACUGAGACACGGUCCAG
This 233-nucleotide ribosomal RNA is filed under the name uncultured bacterium. RNAcentral's name for it is "partial 16S ribosomal RNA". It matches the Rfam family "Bacterial small subunit ribosomal RNA", at positions 100 to 334 of the family's 1533-position model. The record is from RNAcentral.